Molecule: long non-coding RNA, 1418 nt
Filed under: Oryctolagus cuniculus (rabbit)
Lineage: Eukaryota; Metazoa; Chordata; Mammalia; Lagomorpha; Leporidae
Description: lncRNA (ENSOCUG00000035907.1)
Source: RNAcentral
AAUCACAGUUGUAAAACUUAUUGAUACAUAUUCCUUGUCUCAAAACUUGUAUUAUUUUAUUAAUUUGCUAUCUGAAUUGAUAACUGAACAAAUGAUAUGCUGAAGGAAGUUGGUGUAUAUAAAUACAAUAAAUGAAUAUAAAUACAGUGAUUUCUAAUAAUGCAAUCAGCAAGGAUUGGCUAAAACAUAAGUGGUUUUGAUGAAUUAACAGUGAAUUUCCAAAGGUAACUUUGGAAAACAAAGAUACAGAGGUAUCCGUUAAAUAGGACUGAACUUUUCACAUGACCUGGUCUUUGUAGUGUACUUCACAGAGCAUUGCUUAAAGAACUCCCUGAUAGUAUCUGACAGUCUUCUUUUGUACGAAAUUCCCAUAAACUAAAAAUAUUCGCUCUCACAAAAUCCUUUUUCCAAAACGCAGAUACCCUAAGAAGGUAACAUUAAUGUGUCACAUUUAAUCAUAGAUUAGUAAACUAGUCAAAUCAGAGGCCUGAACAGAAGCUGCAAACCAGCAGCUCUUGGCUGCAUCUGACUGCAAUCUUGUUUUGUUUGGCUAACACAAAAGUGUUUGCACAAAAUUUGAAUUUUAAUGACUUUAAACAAGGCAUGCUUCCUCUCAUUUCCCUACAGCCCUUCUGCUUUCUGUGUUGUUUACACUGUGCUGGAACCACACAUUUUCCUUACAUUUUAGCACUCCUUUCUGUGAUCUCUGCGUAAGACACUGUAUACAUUCACGGGAGGACAGAAGGUACCACCUCAAGCCACUUGUGCAAUUACAAAGGACAGGUUUCCUGUACCACAGCUUUUGUCUGUGUGCAGGACAAAUGGGUCUCUCCUGAAUACAGAACUCAAUGGUCUCGGCCUGGAUCUGUACUGUCAUCCCAGCUGCACAAGACUAAGGAUCAGGAAGCCGAGAAAGUCAGUGCCAUGGCUGCUUGCUUCACAACAUGUACUGUUGUUAUGACUGUACUAACAAAGCAGACAUUCUGUUCUUUACUUUCUCCAUGUUUGGUUCUGAGUCAAAAUCUUUAAAUGAUGAAUAUGAGUUAUGUCCAACAACAUCCAAUAUAUUCUUGGAGAUGUAGUUUUUAACUUAGCAGCCUCUGUAUGCUAUAAUGCAUCUGUAGUACCUACAAACAGGAUUUUAUAAAGAUAUUUGACUACAAUGUAAAUGAAAUUAGACCUCUCAUGAACUGUUCUUAAACUCAUUUUCCAACUAAUGUACUAAUCUCGGCCACCACACUCUCUGAAUAAGGUUAAAUUUAUUUCUGAUGCUUGUGACUUAGCCCUUAAAAUUAUCCAUGAACAGGAAACUUUAUUAUUUUUCUAAUCUUUUUAAAAAUUUAUUUAUUUAUUUGAAAGUCACAGUUACACAGAGAGAGAAGGAGAGGCAGAGAGAUACAGGUCUUCCAUCUGCUUGU